CAAUAAUAUAAUUGAACACAUAGGCUACAAUUAGGUUUAUGCAUUCCCCAUGGUGUGUGGUGAGCGCACUGGUGCCGUUGUCCUGUGGCUGCCGUUGCAUCAGCCAGGUGGAUGCUGCAUGCUGGUGGUGGUUGAGGAGAGACCCCCCCACAUGAUGUAAAGCGCUUUGGGUGUACAACAAUACAGAAUAAAACGCUAUAUAAAUGCAUCAUUCAUUCAUUCACUCAUUCAUGCAUGAAGAAAAUAAGGUUGCAUCCCAGGAGUUCUUAAAGAAUGCUAUAGAGUGAUGAAUGCAGCCAAGGAAAACGUGAACAAAAGAAAAGUGGAAAAUAACAGAAAGUACAGGAGACACCAAAAAGGAAGGAAACGAGUCCAUUGUUGAGAUUGCUGGCAAAGAAAACAAAAAUAUACAGGUUUGAUCCUCCAUACCAUUGUAGCCCAAACCAAUAUGCUAUUAAAUGUCAAGAAAGGGAUUAAAAAUCCAAUUUCAUGAAAUUUCAGGUAAAACUGUGUUAUUUGAAUUUGCUUACCUAAAACUUCAUUCAUCAAGCCAAGAAGUGAACCUUAGAACACCAGGCACUGGAACACAGAAAUAAAUUAGACAGCAAUUAGCAUCGAUUGUUAGUUUGUUUGUGAAUGCUUCCUUAAUUUUCCCAUGUAUAGUUGGAUUUAUGUAUGUGUAUGUAUGUAUUUUAAUGUAUGUUGAUGAGCUCACCAAGCAAAUUCCAAGCAACUAGGGCAAUAAAUAAAUAAAUGAACUAUGCAUAUAUACACAGAAAAUGUUAUACAUGUUUGAAAAUGGCCCUUAAUAUCGCAUUAGUGAGGUCACUUCAACCCACAGACUUUAAAAACAACCUACAGCAACAAAGAAAAAAAAAUAGCCCAAUUCUUGAAAACGUCACACAGCACUGAGUCAUACAGAAGUAAAUACAGAGAACAUUAAAGUAAGCGAUUAUGCAUUUAUUUAUAGUAGGGGUCACCAAACUUGGUCCUGGAGGGCUGGUGCCUUGCAGAGUUUAGCUCCAACCCUAAUUAAACACACCUGAACUAGCUAAUCAAAGUCUUGCCAGGUAUACUAAAAACUUUCAGGCAGGUGAACUGCGGCAAGUUUGAGCUAAACUCUGCAGAACACUGGUCCUCCAGUAAUGAGUGUGGUGACCCCUGAUUUAUAGUGUUAGCUGCCAUGGAAGCCAGCAAAAUUAUGCACAGGCAAUAUGAAAAAUGAAGACAAACUAGAGCAGAGUUUGAAACUUGGCCACUCUAAAAUAUUGAUAUUGUUCUCUGCCAACCAUUUCUUGACCCCUUUUGCUGUAUGUUACGAGUUAUCUAACGACCCACAACACACAUCAAAAGUGGUCCAAGCCAGAGUCCAGUCCUGAAUCCAAUUGAAAAUGUGUUAAGACAACUGAAGACCAGAUUGAUGGACAGGAAGCCUUCCAACAUCAAGGACCUGGAGAUCUUUGCAGAGGAGUGGUCCAAAAUCCCAGUGGAAAUGUGCAAAAUAACUGCUGUGAUGAAAAAUGAAGACUUUUACACAGUUUUUUUUUUUUUUGAGAAAGAGUGUGAAUAGCUGUGAACAUGGAAUGUUCUGUAGAUGAAAAAAAAAAUCUCUGACAAAAUUACUUUCUUUUGUCACCUUUUUGUGUCAUUUCCAGCCAGAUGACACCUAUUUGUCAGAUAAAAAUUCAACACAAUUAAAAAUUUGGCAAUCAAGCAUGGUAUGAGUGGCCGUUUAAGAUACAAACAAGUAAAAAUUAUUUAACAGCAAGUUUGAGAAAAGACAAUACAGAAAAGGUAAGAAGGAUUAUUUGAGAAAAGCGCAUAUUACUGCAAUUGGCAGUGAAUCAUAAUAUAACUAACAUCCCUCAGUGUCACAUUUCUGAUUCUUGUGAAAUUGGCCAAUUAUAUAUUUUGACUCACAUGUAAGUAUGGCCCAAAAUCCUCCAAUGUUAUGAUGGGUUUCAGCAUCUGUCUCUUCACAAACGGAUUGUUUCAUAGCCAGUCUGAGAAUCCGAAAUAACAACAAGCCUCCCUUUAACAGAGAAAACACAUUUACAGAAAACAUAAAUGUCACAUUCUGUCAAGCUAAACAUCACAAUUAAAAAUCAUGUUCUAAUUUAAAUUAUGACAUUUCAUGUACCUAAAUAAUCAAAAUUAUGCCUAUUAUUUAAUAGAAAAAGGAAACAAGUCGUUUUGUAAAAAAGAAGAAAAAAAGAUAAAGCCAUUUCUUGUUGUUGUGUGUAUCAUUAUAGGUCAUGACUAAGAGCGGGAAUAAAACAUUUGAAUGCAAUGGAAUACGUCUCGCGAGUGGUGUUUAAUAACUGUCACUAACGUCAACAACGUCUGUUGGUUGAAGACGGUGGUGGAAAUAGACUGAAUC
Long non-coding RNA from Cyprinus carpio carpio, 2380 nucleotides. Lineage: Eukaryota; Metazoa; Chordata; Actinopteri; Cypriniformes; Cyprinidae. The record is from Ensembl.